UUGUCGUCAGCUCGUGUCGUGAGAUUGUUGGGUUAAGUCCCGCAACGAGCCGCCAACCCCUAUUGUUAGUUGCCAUCAUUCGGUUGGGCACUCUAGCGAGACUGCCGGUAAUAACCGGAGAAGGUGGGGAUGACGUCAAGUCCUCAUGGCCUUUAUGACCAGGGCUACACACGUACUACAAUGGCCGGUACAAAGGGCAGCCACUUAGCGAUAAGGAGCCAAUCCCGUAAAGCCGGUCUCAGUCCGGAUUGGAGUCUGCAACUCGACUCCAUGAAGUUGGAAUCGCUAGUAAUCGCAGAUCAGCACGCUGCGGUCGAAUACGUUCCCGGGCCUU
Molecule: ribosomal RNA, 334 nt
Filed under: uncultured Desulfocapsa sp.
Lineage: Bacteria; Pseudomonadati; Thermodesulfobacteriota; Desulfobulbia; Desulfobulbales; Desulfocapsaceae
Description: bacterial SSU rRNA
Rfam family: Bacterial small subunit ribosomal RNA
Source: RNAcentral